GAUGAGCGCUGGCGGCGUGCCUAACACAUGCAAGUCGAGCGAUUCUCUUCGGAGAAGAGCGGCGGACGGGUGAGUAACGCGUGGGUAACCUGCCCUGUACACACGGAUAACAUACCGAAAGGUAUGCUAAUACGGGAUAAUGUAAGAGAGUCGCAUGGCUUUCUUAUCAAAGCUCCGGCGGUACAGGAUGGACCCGCGUCUGAUUAGCUCGUUGGUGAGGUGAUGGCUCACCAAGGCGACGAUCAGUAGCCGACCUGAGAGGGUGAUCGGCCACAUUGGAACUGAGACACGGUCCAAACUCCUACGGGAGGCAGCAGUGGGGAAUAUUGCACAAUGGGCGAAAGCCUGAUGCAGCAACGCCGCGUGAGCGAUGAAGGCCUUCGGGUCGUAAAGCUCUGUCCUCAAGGAAGAUAAUGACGGUACUUGAGGAGGAAGCCCCGGCUAACUACGUGCCAGCCGCCGCGGUAA
Molecule: ribosomal RNA, 468 nt
Filed under: uncultured bacterium
Lineage: Bacteria
Description: partial 16S ribosomal RNA
Rfam family: Bacterial small subunit ribosomal RNA
Source: RNAcentral